CCUACGGGAGGCAGCAGUGGGGAAUUUUGGACAAUGGGCGCAAGCCUGAUCCAGCAAUGCCGCGUGCAGGAUGAAGGCCUUCGGGUUGUAAACUGCUUUUGUACGGAACGAAACGGUGAGCUCUAAUAAAGUUUGCUAAUGACGGUACCGUAAGAAUAAGCACCGGCUAACUACGUGCCAGCAGCCGCGGUAAUACGUAGGGUGCGAGCGUUAAUCGGAAUUACUGGGCGUAAAGCGUGCGCAGGCGGUUAUAUAAGACAGAUGUGAAAUCCCCGGGCUCAACCUGGGACCUGCAUUUGUGACUGUAUAGCUAGAGUACGGUAGAGGGGGAUGGAAUUCCGCGUGUAGCAGUGAAAUGCGUAGAUAUGCGGAGGAACACCGAUGGCGAAGGCAAUCCCCUGGACCUGUACUGACGCUCAUGCACGAAAGCGUGGGGAGCAAACAGGAUUAGAUACCCUGGUAGUCCACGCCCUAAACGAUGUCAACUGGUUGUUGGGUUCUUCACUGACUCAGUAACGAAGCUAACGCGUGAAGUUGACCGCCUGGGGAGUACGGCCGCAAGGUUGAAACUCAAAGGAUUGACGGCNGAGAGNGCGACGACGACGACGAGGGAGGAGG
RNAcentral lists this ribosomal RNA (618 nucleotides) under uncultured bacterium. RNAcentral's name for it is "bacterial SSU rRNA". It matches the Rfam family "Bacterial small subunit ribosomal RNA", at positions 338 to 951 of the family's 1533-position model. The record is from RNAcentral.